CCUACGGGCUGCAGCAGUGGGGAAUAUUGGACAAUGGGGGCAACCCUGAUCCAGCCAUGCCGCGUGUGUGAAGAAGGCCCUCGGGUUGUAAAGCACUUUCAGUGAGGAAGAACGCCUGGUGGUUAAUACCCAUCAGGAAAGACAUCACUCACAGAAGAAGCACCGGCUAACUCCGUGCCAGCAGCCGCGGUAAUACGGAGGGUGCGAGCGUUAAUCGGAAUUACUGGGCGUAAAGCGCGCGUAGGUGGCUUGAUAAGCCGGUUGUGAAAGCCCCGGGCUCAACCUGGGAACGGCAUCCGGAACUGUCAAGCUAGAGUGCAGGAGAGGAAGGUAGAAUUCCCGGUGUAGCGGUGAAAUGCGUAGAGAUCGGGAGGAAUACCAGUGGCGAAGGCGGCCUUCUGGACUGACACUGACACUGAGGUGCGAAAGCGUGGGUAGCAAACAGGAUUAGAUACCCGGGUAGUC
Molecule: ribosomal RNA, 465 nt
Filed under: Vreelandella stevensii
Lineage: Bacteria; Pseudomonadati; Pseudomonadota; Gammaproteobacteria; Oceanospirillales; Halomonadaceae
Description: partial 16S ribosomal RNA
Rfam family: Bacterial small subunit ribosomal RNA
Source: RNAcentral